UCGUAGUUGGAUCUCAGUUACAGGCAGGUGGUUCACUUUACAGUGAUACUACCUGAACUGAACCUAUUGCUGGAUCUCAUGGGUGCCCUUCACUGGGUGCCCAUUGAGAACAGACGUUUUACUUUGAGAAAAUUAGAGUGCUCAAAGCAGGCGAAUGCCUGAAUAGUUGUGCAUGGAAUAAUGAAAUAUGGCCUCGGUGUUUUUUUGUUGGUUCAUGAUGCUCGAGGUAAUGGUUGAAAGGGACUGACGGGGGCAUUCGUAUUGCGACGUUAGAGGUGAAAUUCUUAGAUCGUCGCAAGACGGACUACUGCGAAAGCAUUUGCCAAGAAUGUCUUCAUUAAUCAAGAACGAAAGUCAGAGGUUCGAAGGCGAUCAGAUACCGCCCUAGUUCUGACCUUAAACGAUGCUUACUGGCGAUCCAGGAGGGGUAUUUAAAUGACCCACUGGGCAGCUUCUGGGAAACCAAAGUUUUUGGGUUCCGGGGGAAGUAUGGUUGCAAAGCUGGAACUUAAAGGAAUUGACGGAAGGGCACCACCAGGAGUGGAGCCUGUGGCUUAAUUUGACUCAACACGGGAAACCUCACCAGGCCCAGACACUAGA
This 600-nucleotide ribosomal RNA is filed under the name Candona sp. 6a IK-2020. RNAcentral describes it as "SSU rRNA". It matches the Rfam family "Eukaryotic small subunit ribosomal RNA", at positions 628 to 1235 of the family's 1831-position model. The record is from RNAcentral. Lineage: Eukaryota; Metazoa; Arthropoda; Ostracoda; Podocopida; Candonidae.